GGAUUGAGCAUAAUAGGAAUUUUUGUUCUAACAAUAUAUAUAUAUAUAUAUAUAUAUAUAUAUAUAGAGAGUUGAGCUAGAAUACUAUCGAUAGUAAACGAGCCGUUUUACUAUAGAUUUGUUUUCGAUGAGAGAGCUUCCAAAUUGACGAUCGGCUCCGUUAAAUAUGAUCUAAACUAUUUAAACUACCUAGAAAUCAAAUUUCACGCACUUUAGAUAUUGUUCUUUUAUCUAUCAAGUGAACAGAAAAUGAAUGGCUGAAAAUAAAUAUUCUUUAAAAAAUGAUGAUAGGAGUCUGGUAAUCAAGAUCAAGAGUAUAGAUCUUGUUUUAAAUAGUUUAAAGAAUUUUCUAACAAAAAUUUAAUUGAUUUGGAUAUCUUUAC
RNAcentral lists this long non-coding RNA (383 nucleotides) under Ananas comosus (pineapple). RNAcentral's name for it is "long non-coding RNA (ACOM_LNC014487)". The record is from RNAcentral. Lineage: Eukaryota; Viridiplantae; Streptophyta; Magnoliopsida; Poales; Bromeliaceae.